RNAcentral lists this ribosomal RNA (488 nucleotides) under uncultured bacterium. RNAcentral's name for it is "partial 16S ribosomal RNA". It matches the Rfam family "Bacterial small subunit ribosomal RNA", at positions 30 to 523 of the family's 1533-position model. The record is from RNAcentral.
AUUGAACGCUGGCGGCAGGCCUAACACAUGCAAGUCGAGCGGGGUUUUCGGACCUAGCGGCGGACGGGUGAGUAAUGCGUAGGAAGCUGCCCGAUAGAGGGGGAUACCAGUUGGAAACGACUGUUAAUACCGCAUAAUGUCUACGGACCAAAGUGUGGGACCUUCGGGCCACAUGCUAUCGGAUGCGCCUACGUGGGAUUAGCUAGUUGGUGAGGUAAUGGCUCACCAAGGAGACGUUCUCUAGCUGGUUUGAGAGGAUGAUAAGCCACACUUGAACGGAGACACGGUCCAGACUCCUACGGGAGGGAGCAGUGGGGAAUAUUGGAAAAUGGGCGCAAGCCUGAUCCAGCCAUGCCGCGUGUGUGAAGAAGGCCUUCGGGUUGUAAAGCACUUUCAGCGAGGAGGAAGGGUGGUGUGUUAAUAGCACAUCAUUUUGACGUUACUCGCAGAAGAAGCACCGGCUAACUCUGUGCCAGCCGCCGCGGUAA